GAUGAAGAACGCAGCGAAAUGCGAUAAGUAGUGUGAAUUGCAGAAUUCAGUGAAUCAUCGAAUCUUUGAACGCACAUUGCGCCCUUUGGUAUUCCUUAGGGCAUGCCUGUUCGAGCGUCAUUUAAACCUUCAAGCUAAGCUUGGUGUUGGGUGACUGUCCGCUUCACGGCGGACUCGCCUCAAAAUUAUUGGCGGCCGGUACAUUGGCUUCGAGCGCAGCAGAAACGCGAACUCGGGCCCGUCGUAUUGGCUCCCAGAAGCUAUCUUCACAAUUUUGACCUCGGAUCAGGUAGGGAUACCCGGUGAACUUAAGCAUAUCAAUAAGCGGAGGA
This 332-nucleotide unclassified non-coding RNA is filed under the name soil metagenome. RNAcentral's name for it is "partial contains 5.8S ribosomal RNA, internal transcribed spacer 2, and large subunit ribosomal RNA". The stretch from base 1 to 120 matches the Rfam family "5.8S ribosomal RNA", at positions 35 to 154 of the family's 154-position model. The record is from RNAcentral.